ACGGCGAGUGAAGCGGCAACAGCUCAAAUUUGAAAUCUGGCGCAAGCCCGAGUUGUAAUUUGCAGAGGAUGUUUCGGGUGAAGCCACGGUCCAAGUCCCUUGGAACAGGACGUCAUAGAGGGUGAGAACCCCGUACCUGGCCGUCGGUGCCCCCCGCUGUGAAACUCCUUCGACGAGUCGAGUUGUUUGGGAAUGCAGCUCUAAAUUGGUGGUAAAUUCCAUCUAAAGCUAAAUACCGGCCAGAGACCGAUAGCGCACAAGUAGAGUGAUCGAAAGAUGAAAAGCACUUUGAAAAGAGAGUUAAAAAGUACGUGAAAUUGUUGAAAGGGAAGCGCUUGCGGCCAGACUUGCCCGCGGUUGCUCAGCCCGCCUUUUGGCGGGUGCACUCUUCCGCGGUCAGGCCAGCAUCGGUUUGGGCGGCCGGACAAAGGCGUCGGGAACGUGGCCUCCCCUCGGGGAGGUGUUAUAGCCCGGCGCGCAAUGCGACCAGCCCGGACCGAGGUUCGCGCUUUGCUAGGAUGCUGGCGUAAUGGCCGUAAGCGGCCCGUCUUGAAACACGGACCAAGGAGUCUAACAUCUAUGCGAGUGUUUGGGUGUCAAACCCGUGCGCGUAAUGAAAGUGAACGGAGGUGGGAACCGCAAGGUGCACCAUCGACCGAUCCUGAUGUCUUCGGAAGGAUUUGAGUAAGAGCAUAGCUGUUGGGACCCGAAAGAUGGUGAACUAUGCGUGAAUAGGGUGAAGCCAGAGGAAACUCUGGUGGAGGCUCGCAGCGGUUCUGACGUGCAAAUCGAUCGUCAAAUUUGCGUAUAGGGGCGAAAGACUAAUCGAACCAUUUAGUAGCUGGUUCCUGCC
RNAcentral lists this ribosomal RNA (853 nucleotides) under Venturia martianoffiana. Its description in RNAcentral is "eukaryotic LSU rRNA". It matches the Rfam family "Eukaryotic large subunit ribosomal RNA", at positions 86 to 962 of the family's 3401-position model. The record is from RNAcentral. Lineage: Eukaryota; Fungi; Ascomycota; Dothideomycetes; Venturiales; Venturiaceae.